GGGGGGGUUCCCGGCGUUCUCUUGUGUUUGGUCUGCAUUUCGACACGGCACCGCUGCACUACUGGACUACAGCAAGCUGAUGGCAUCCGGUGGAGCUUCGUACGGCAAUGACUGCUGCUUACCUGGCGCCACAACUUUGUAUGAAUGCACAAGAAGCCCGGAACGAGCAUUUAUAUAGAGCAAAAUCAACAUUUCAUAAUUUCAGAA
This 207-nucleotide long non-coding RNA is filed under the name Dermacentor andersoni. RNAcentral describes it as "uncharacterized LOC126518648". The record is from RNAcentral. Lineage: Eukaryota; Metazoa; Arthropoda; Arachnida; Ixodida; Ixodidae.